This 253-nucleotide ribosomal RNA is filed under the name uncultured bacterium. RNAcentral's name for it is "partial 16S ribosomal RNA". It matches the Rfam family "Bacterial small subunit ribosomal RNA", at positions 524 to 776 of the family's 1533-position model. The record is from RNAcentral.
UACGGAGGGUGCAAACGUUGCUCGGAAUCAUUGGGCGUAAAGCGCACGUAGGUGGUUUGUUAAGUCGGGUGUGAAAGCCCCCGGCUCAACUGGGGAGGGUCAUUCGAUACUGUUCGACUCGAAGGCAGGAGAGGGAAGUGGAAUUCCGGGUGUAGUGGUGAAAUGCGUAGAUAUCCGGAGGAACACCAGUGGCGAAGGCGACUUUCUGGCCUGUUCUUGACGCUGAGGCGCGAAAGCUAGGGGAGCAAACGGG